GCGACAUCUAACGUAUAUAGCUAUGGGCGCUAACUAGUAUUCACGUCGUAUCAUGCUUAACUCUUUUUCUCCUUUUACGCACUUUGAAAGUCUAUUGUGAGUUACACAAUGCAGCAUUUAGCUCGCUCGUAAACAUCGCUUAUGUCCUCAGGUCACUGUCUGAGCAGAAGUUUCAUCAUUAGCCCUGACUGUCAGAUGCUCUUCAUCUCAGGAGCUGUAUUUUUAAAUGCUUGAUAACAGAUAUAAGCGAGAAGAGGCUGAAUCCGAAGCCUGAGAAGAAGCAGAGAAACAGAGGAUCGAACGAGAGAAACACUUCCAGAAAGAGGAGCUGGAACACUAGGAAAGAAAGAAGGUAAAACAAAAGUUCACCAAUCAAGCUAAACACAGCAUCACGCUCUCUCAUUCACACACACACACAUACGUGUGCUGGCUCGCUCAGGAGCGAUAUUGUUAGACCGCCCGCUCCCGUUUAAAUUACACCAGUUACCGACCGCUCCCAUGCUUUAUUCGGAAAUUUAUUCCCACGCCGCACGAAAUCUGGUACAGUCGCGGGAAUGCAGACCUCUAAUCUGGCAUUACGGUGGCUCAGUGGUUAGCACUGUCGCCUCAAAGAAAGAAGGUUGCUGGUUCGAGUCCCGGCUGGGUCAGUUGGCAUUUCUGUGUGGAGUUUGCCUGCUCUAAGUGUGUGUGAAUGAGUAUCUAUGGAUGUUUCCCAGUACUGCUUUGCAGCUGGAAGGGCAUCCAAUGUGUAAAACAUAUGCUGGAUAAGUUGGCGGUUCAUUCUGUUGUGGUGACCUCUGAUAAAUAAAGGGACUAAACUGAAGGAA
Molecule: non-coding RNA, 827 nt
Organism: Danio rerio (zebrafish)
Lineage: Eukaryota; Metazoa; Chordata; Actinopteri; Cypriniformes; Danionidae
Source: Ensembl